AUGUUGCUCAAGCUGCUCAAGCUGGAGAUGAUGAAGGUGGUGACGCGGCCAUUGCAACUGCCUGUUAGCAUUAUGAGUCCGGUCAAGUCGGCGAGAGGCAAUGAUGGAAAAGUUGCUUUAGAGCUUGAUGCUUGUGCUCGUUUGUUUGAGAGUCGGCAUGUGGCUAGGGUUCAUGCAGCUAGUUUUGGUUCUAUCUUGAAGUGGAAGGUGAAUUCUAACAUUUCCCGCCCUUUGAUGGGAGUUUUGUACCUGAAGAUACAUCCUGAUACGAUGACUCUUGACAUGGGUGAGGCGAAUAAGAAGCUUUGUAUCACUAGCGAUUGUAUACAACAACUAUUUGGUUUCCCUCGCGGUGGUCGUUCUGCACCAAGGCCCUCAGAGGACGAAUAUAAUGAAGCUCUGAUGAAGUUAAGAUUGGAGCUUGACAUUGGCAAGAACAGAGAUAUCAAGAUGAAGGAUUUGAGGGAUAAGCUCAAGGUGCUUGUCAAGGAUCGUAGCAAAGAUGACCUUGCUCUAAAAGUGUUCUUCAUUAUUGUGUUUAUGGAAGUUGUUUGGCCUGGUGCGGCCCAUCGUGUUUCUAGACAGGCGGCAAUGUUUGAGGAUCUUGUCAUUGAGGACAUGGCUAAUAUGGAUUAUUGCCAACUGAUGGUUGAUGAGCUUAGAAGGACUGUUGUCAGGUACAAAGAUGGUGUUACCCUUGGGAAGGCAAUCACAGGUUGUGCUGUAGGGCCUAUACUAAUGUACCUUGAUUGCCCUAUCCGUGGCAAGUUUCUGGAGGUUGACAUUGGAAAACUCAAUAGGAAGUUGUCUUUUUCCGGGUGUAUAAACAUCCAGUCCUGGAGAUGCCGUCUCAGGUUCCGAAGAUUUCAUCUCUACACGGGUUUUGGUAUUGAUGUAGCUGUUUCUGCGUUGGAGCGCACUGAGCACAUUUUUAUUAAUGUGCGUUCUGAGCUGGAAAAGGUCCCAUCUACAGUUGAGCGUCUGAGCUGUAUCAACAUUAUCCUCCCUGAUGGUCAUCAGUUUAAUGCUGAUGAAGCAGUGGACUACAUUGAAGUGGAGAGAAUUUUAAUUAGUGAUAUGCAUGAUGGUGCUGCUCAACUAAUACAGAGCCCGGUUCGUCUGUUGAACAACAUGAAGCGUUUCAAAACUAUGCAAGACUCUCGCUGCAAUCCAUAUGAAGAAAGUGCUAAUGUUGUUAUCACUCAGAUUGAGCAGGAUGAGGCUGCUGCCACUGCCAGCAGGGCUAGUGAUGGUACUGAGGCUAAUGUUUCGGACCACCAUAUGAAUGAUGUUCGUUUGGAGCCCCCUGUUGUUGAGGAGCCCUGUCAUGAUGUUGAGGCUGCUAUUGGCUAUGGAGUUAAUGAUCCAUCUAUUGAUAAGAGCAAGCAUGUUUUGGGCUUCAUUACUAUGAAUCAGGAUCCUAUUGUUGGUGAUGAGCCUUGUUCGAUCAUCGGUGAUGUUCCUUUGAGUGUUAGCAGCAACAACAUCAGUGGUGUUGCUGUGGAUGCUGCUAAGAUGACUGAUGUUGAGUGCGAGGCUGCCGUAACUGUUGGAGGUGAUGCUUGUGGUGUUCCAUUGAGCAGUGAGCAUGAUGUUGGUAGCAAAGUUGCUAAUGAGGAUGUUGAUGCUGCCAGCAUACUUGAUGCCAAAUCGUCUGGUGUUGGUAUUGCUGAGAGUGAUAUUCUUUCUGGUUCUGGAGAAUUGCCGUUGGAAAAUUUCCCGCCUAGAGGGCUUGAUUAUGGUGAUGCAUUGCAAGACGCCGAUGUGUCUAGCAUGGAGGAGGUGCCAACUGAGGAUGAUGAUUUCAUUCUGUCUAUUUCUUCUGGCCCCUUGGCCAAUGAGGCGCUCCUGUCGUCCCAGGAUUGUUUUUCUUUAGACCCUGGAAGCGCUACCAUAUUGUUGUCCUCACAGGAUGUUGCGUCGUCAAACCCUGAAAGCGCAGGCAUAUUGCUGUCGUCACAGGAACUCCCAUCGACAAACACUGAAAGUGUAGGUAAGGACUUGUAA
Molecule: ribosomal RNA, 2007 nt
Filed under: Triticum aestivum (bread wheat)
Lineage: Eukaryota; Viridiplantae; Streptophyta; Magnoliopsida; Poales; Poaceae
Description: partial small subunit ribosomal RNA
Source: RNAcentral